RNAcentral lists this long non-coding RNA (277 nucleotides) under Lathyrus oleraceus (garden pea). RNAcentral describes it as "Pisum sativum (pea) long non-coding RNA (PSAT_LNC020661)". The record is from RNAcentral. Lineage: Eukaryota; Viridiplantae; Streptophyta; Magnoliopsida; Fabales; Fabaceae.
UAAUUGUUUUAAAAUAUUUUCUUAUUUCAUAAGAAUCCAAAAAAAUAUUUUUUAUAUUCCUUAAUGUUAUAUUUAAUUUAUUUUAAUUUUAAUUUUCAUAUUUAUUUAAUGUUAAUAUUUCAUUUUAAUUGUUUAUUCUAAAUGGUUCAUUUUGACACACUUGUUUUUGUUUAUUUUAUUUUCAUGACAUAGAAUUAUUUUUAACUUCUGAUUUUUGGGAUGAGGGUUGACCAAUGUCUCAUGGUCAACUUGACCUUUUAUUGGAAUUUUAUUUCCC